Molecule: ribosomal RNA, 522 nt
Filed under: uncultured Acidithiobacillus ferrooxidans
Lineage: Bacteria; Pseudomonadati; Pseudomonadota; Acidithiobacillia; Acidithiobacillales; Acidithiobacillaceae
Description: bacterial SSU rRNA
Rfam family: Bacterial small subunit ribosomal RNA
Source: RNAcentral
CUCAGAUUGAACGCUGGCGGCAUGCCUAACACAUGCAAGUCGAACGGUAACAGGUCUUCGGAUGCUGACGAGUGGCGGACGGGUGAGUAAUGCGUAGGAAUCUGUCUUUUAGUGGGGGACAACCCAGGGAAACUUGGGCUAAUACCGCAUGAGCCCUGAGGGGGAAAGCGGGGGAUCUUCGGACCUCGCGCUAAGGGAAGAGCCUACGUCUGAUUAGCUAGUUGGUAGGGUAAAGGCCUACCAAGGCGACGAUCAGUAGCUGGUCUGAGAGGACGACCAGCCACACUGGGACUGAGACACGGCCCAGACUCCUACGGGAGGCAGCAGUGGGGAAUUUUUCGCAAUGGGGGCAACCCUGACGAAGCAAUGCCGCGUGGAUGAAGAAGGCCUUCGGGUUGUAAAGUCCUUUCGUGGGGGACGAAAAGGCGGGUCCUAAUACGAUCUGCUGUUGACGUGAACCCAAGAAGAAGCACCGGCUAACUCCGUGCCAGCAGCCGCGGUAAUACGGGGGGUGCAAGCGUU